RNAcentral lists this unclassified non-coding RNA (506 nucleotides) under uncultured Glomus. Its description in RNAcentral is "SSU rRNA". It matches the Rfam family "Eukaryotic small subunit ribosomal RNA", at positions 569 to 1079 of the family's 1831-position model. The record is from RNAcentral. Lineage: Eukaryota; Fungi; Glomeromycota; Glomeromycetes; Glomerales; Glomeraceae.
AGCAGCCGCGGUAAUUCCAGCUCCAAUAGCGUAUAUUAAAGUUGUUGCAGUUAAAAGCUCGUAGUUGAAUUUCGGGGUUAGCAGGUCGGUCGUGCCAUCGGUAUGAACUGGUCUCGCUGAUCCCACCCUCUUGACGAACUGUGAUGCCAUUAAUUUGGUGUCGCAGGGAAUCAGGACUGUUACUUUGAAAAAUUAGAGUGUUUAAAGCAGGCUCACGCUUGAAUACAUUAGCAUGGAAUAAUGAAAUAGGACGUUUGAUCCUAUUUUGUUGGCUUCUAGGAUUGACGUAAUGAUUAAUAGGGAUAGUUGGGGGCAUUAGUAUUCAAUUGUCAGAGGUGAAAUUCUUGGAUUUAUUGAAGACUAACUACUGCGAAAGCAUUUGCCAAGGAUGUUUUCAUUAAUCAAGAACGAAAGUUAGGGGAUCGAAGACGAUCAGAUACCGUCGUAGUCUUAACCAUAAACUAUAGCCGACUAGGGAUCGGAUGAUGUUAAUUUUUAUGACUUCU